This 437-nucleotide ribosomal RNA is filed under the name uncultured bacterium. Its description in RNAcentral is "partial 16S ribosomal RNA". It matches the Rfam family "Bacterial small subunit ribosomal RNA", at positions 29 to 507 of the family's 1533-position model. The record is from RNAcentral.
AGCGAACGCUGGCGGCAGGCCUAACACAUGCAAGUCGAGCGGGCGUACUUGUGGUGUCCGUGGCAGACGGGUGAGUAACGCGUGUGAACGUGCCGUUCGUUUCGGACUAACUCGGGUAAACUUGGGCUAAUACCGGUUACGUGCGAGAGCAGAAAAGUUUAUCUGCCGAAGGACCUGACCGCGUCUGAUUAGCUAGUUGGCUAGGUUAUGGCUCACCAAUGCGACGAUCAGUAGCUGGUCUGAGAGGAUGAUCAGCCACACUGGGACUGAGACACGGGCCAGACUCCUACGGGAGGCAGCAGUGGGGAAUAUUGGACAAUGGGGGCAACCCUGAGCCAGCCAUGCCGGGUGAGUGAUGACGGCCUUAGGGUUGUAAAGCUCUUUUCUUCGGGACGAUAAUGACGGUACCGGAGGAAUAAGCCCCGGCUAACUUCGUG